CCAAGAUUUCCGCCCCUGCACCAAGGGGUCAGGGACUGUCAAAUAAAGAUGCUGCCGUUUACAAAUUCAUUGAACUGCGGGUGAAUAACAACUGGGGCCAUCCAGAAUAUACUUGCCUCUACCGGUUCCGUGUCCACGGAGAAGCAGCAAUGUGAUUCUGGAUGCGGCUGCCCCGCCCGCACUCUACAACACAAACAAACUCUACCUAAUCUGGAUUCAAAGUUGAUUUUCCGCAACAAUGUCAAUUUCUGUCAUAAAUGUUUAUAGUGUUUUAAAUUAUUUAUAAUUAUUUUAUCUUAAAUAUAUUUAGAAUGAAACAUC
Molecule: long non-coding RNA, 321 nt
Organism: Amblyraja radiata (thorny skate)
Lineage: Eukaryota; Metazoa; Chordata; Chondrichthyes; Rajiformes; Rajidae
Exons: 2
Source: RefSeq, a predicted model, not a curated record